UACGAAGGUGGCAAGCGUUGUUCGGAUUUACUGGGCGUACAGGGAGCGUAGGCGGUUGGAUAAGCCCUCCGUGAAAUCUCCAGGCUUAACCUGGAAAGUGCAGAGGGGACUGUUCAGCUAGAGGAUGGGAGAGGAGCGCGGAAUUCCCGGUGUAGCGGUGAAAUGCGUAGAUAUCUGGAGGAACACCGGUGGCGAAGGCGGCAUCCUGGACCGGCACUGACACUGAGGAGCGAAAGCCAGGGGAGCAAACGGG
This 253-nucleotide ribosomal RNA is filed under the name uncultured bacterium. Its description in RNAcentral is "partial 16S ribosomal RNA". It matches the Rfam family "Bacterial small subunit ribosomal RNA", at positions 524 to 776 of the family's 1533-position model. The record is from RNAcentral.